CCUAUAAUUGUGUUUCUUUGUUAAUGACAGAGAGAGAAAGAGAAGCGACUGCUCUAAGAGUGGAAACAAUCUUAAACCAUCUUUAGUCCUGGCUUGCAUCUGACACAGUCCCAUUCAUCUAACAGAGGCUAUACGGUGUCACUGAACUGAGGUGAGCAGCAGCACUACCUAGUCAUCAUUCCAGUGACAGUUUGGUAACCUGGUACCUCGUUACCCUGGAAAGACUCACACCACGAAGGCAAUGUGAUCCUCAGUCAGAUUACCCAAGAGAUGUUCCUUCCUGGAAAGGGAAAUAGGACAGAGAUACAGAGCUGUUUUUCAAUCCCUUCGUUUACAUGGACUCAUUUCAACUCCUGACACUCCAUCAGCUUGGACCUUCCGUGCCACUGGAAAAUGCCAUCACAAAAUGGCACCAUUUUCAGCCCUUUUCUUCGUGAGGUGCAACCACAUUCCUUUCAGCCCAAGAACGGCGAUGGGAUGAGAGAGCGCAAAGACUUUUUCCUUGUGAUCUGGGAGGUUUGGUGUGUGUUUGAACAGGUAUGUAAAGCCGAGAAACAGAAACAAUACGGUCCAAGUUUCAAGAUUUAGCGUGGUUUUCAGGAGGUGCCAAUAUGCUACAUGUGUAAUGUGCAUAUUUCUGGAAAAUUAUGAAUCACUUACUUUUUUUUCCUGUAAA
Pezoporus occidentalis (night parrot) is the source of this 676-nucleotide long non-coding RNA. RefSeq lists it as uncharacterized. The record is from RefSeq and is a predicted model, not a curated record. The transcript has 4 exons. Lineage: Eukaryota; Metazoa; Chordata; Aves; Psittaciformes; Psittacidae.